RNAcentral lists this ribosomal RNA (253 nucleotides) under uncultured bacterium. Its description in RNAcentral is "partial 16S ribosomal RNA". It matches the Rfam family "Bacterial small subunit ribosomal RNA", at positions 524 to 776 of the family's 1533-position model. The record is from RNAcentral.
UACGUAGGGUCCGAGCGUUGUCCGGAAUUAUUGGGCGUAAAGGGCUCGUAGGCGGUUUGUCGCGUCUGCUGUGAAAUCCCGAGGCUCAACCUCGGGCCUGCAGUGGGUACGGGCAGACUGGAGUGCGGUAGGGGAGAAUGGAAUUCCUGGUGUAGCGGUGGAAUGCGCAGAUAUCAGGAAGAACACCCGUGGCGAAAGCGGCUCUCUGGAACGGUACUGACGCUGAGACGCGAAAGCGUGGGGAGCGAACAGG